AACCACGACAACGACAACGACAGCGACAACGACAACGACAACGACAACCACAACCACAACCACAACCACAACAACAACGACAACAACAACAACAACGACAACAACAACCACACACAACCACCACCACCACAACCACGACCACGACCACGACCACCACAACAACCACAACCACAACCACGACCACAACCACGACCACGACCACGACAACGACCACAACCACGACCACGACAACGACCACAACCACGACCACGACCACAACCACGACAACGACCACGACAACAACAACGACAACGACAACCACAACCACAACGACAACCACAACAACAACGACAACAACAACCACACACAACCACCACCACCACAACCACGACCACGACCACCACCACCACCACCACAACAACCACAACCACAACCACGACCACCACCACGACCACGACCACGACAACGACCACAACCACGACAAC
This 464-nucleotide long non-coding RNA is filed under the name Hordeum vulgare. RNAcentral's name for it is "long non-coding RNA (HVUL_LNC003382)". The record is from RNAcentral. Lineage: Eukaryota; Viridiplantae; Streptophyta; Magnoliopsida; Poales; Poaceae.